GUAGGUGGCAAGCGUUGUCCGGAAUUAUUGGGCGUAAAGCGCGCGCAGGCGGUCCUUUAAGUCUGAUGUGAAAGCCCACGGCUCAACCGUGGAGGGUCAUUGGAAACUGGGGGACUUGAGUACAGAAGAGGAAAGCGGAAUUCCAAGUGUAGCGGUGAAAUGCGUAGAGAUUUGGAGGAACACCAGUGGCGAAGGCGGCUUUCUGGUCUGUAACUGACGCUGAGGCGCGAAAGCGUGGGGAGCAAACAGGAUUAGAUACCCUGGUAGUCCACGCCGUAAACGAUGAGUGCUAAGUGUUAGGGGGUUUCCCGCCCCCUUAGUGCUGCAGCUAACGCAUUAAGCACUCGCCUGGGGAGUACGGCCGCAAGGCUG
RNAcentral lists this ribosomal RNA (372 nucleotides) under uncultured organism. RNAcentral describes it as "partial 16S ribosomal RNA". It matches the Rfam family "Bacterial small subunit ribosomal RNA", at positions 527 to 896 of the family's 1533-position model. The record is from RNAcentral.